GACGAACGCUGGCGGCGUGCUUAACACAUGCAAGUCGAACGAGUGGCGAACGGGUGAGUAAUACGUGGGACCCUGCCUGAUGGAGGGGGAUAACUACUGGAAACGGUAGCUAAUACCGCAUACCAUCAGAUGUGCCCAGAUGGGAUUAGCUAGUAGGUGGGGUAAUGGCUCACCUAGGCGACGAUCCCUAGCUGGUCUGAGAGGAUGACCAGCCACACUGGAACUGAGACACGGUCCAGACUCCUACGGGAGGCAGCAGUGGGGAAUAUUGCACAAUGGGCGCAAGCCUGAUGCAGCCAUGCCGCGUGUGUGAAGAAGGCCUUCGGGUUGUAAAGCACUGUCAGCGAGGAGGCGUUACUCGCAGAAGAAGCACCGGCUAACUCCGUGCCAGCAGCCGCGGUAAUUC
RNAcentral lists this ribosomal RNA (406 nucleotides) under uncultured bacterium. RNAcentral describes it as "partial 16S ribosomal RNA". It matches the Rfam family "Bacterial small subunit ribosomal RNA", at positions 28 to 526 of the family's 1533-position model. The record is from RNAcentral.